Non-coding RNA from Ictidomys tridecemlineatus (thirteen-lined ground squirrel), 816 nucleotides. Lineage: Eukaryota; Metazoa; Chordata; Mammalia; Rodentia; Sciuridae. The record is from RefSeq and is a predicted model, not a curated record.
UCACCAAUUUCUUCCAAUAUUUUCUAUCUACUGAAUAUAGGUAGAUUUUAAAAAGUGAUCUUACUUGGAUUUUUUAAUAGAAAUAUUUGGAAUAAGAAGCUUUCCUUAUUUUUAAAAAGUGUUGUUUCAAGCAGCAGAGCACAGUUACAUGGACAAAAGAUAAUAAUAUGUUGAGCACUUCCUGUGGGUCAGGCACUGUGCUUAGGGCCUUAGAAACACCCUCUUCAGCAUUAUCAUAACUGCACAUGAUGUAUUUAUACUCAUUUACAGUUGAGAAAACAUAGGCUUAAAAGUUUAGUGUUUGAGUAUUAAUAUCUUGGGGUUGUUUCUAGGAAGCAUGACAUAAUAUAAUUUGGUUUGACACUUCUUCCCCCAAAAGAAGUAGUCUGAACUAAGGAAUGGACGAAUACUGACAAAUGAUACAAGUCACAUUCUUCUUUGGUUUGCAGCUCAAAACAUAUGCCUGUCUUUCUCACUGUAGAUGAUGUUUUCUUGAAAUAAAGCAAAAGUUAAGUUCUCAGGAAAGCAAAAGGAUUUUGUGAAAAAAACAAAAUUAUACAUCAUAAACAGAACAUGUUGUUCCAAAUCCCCUGCAGACCAUCAAAAACCCACAGUGGAGUACUCUUUUGACAGGCCAAACGUUUAGAAGACAGUGAAAUAUUACUUCUGUAAUCUCAAAAAUAAAAGUACUUCACCACAGUGUAUUUGGAGGAUAAUAUUUGCAUUGUAUUUUUUUCUUUUUUUCUAUUUGUAUUGAAGGACAAAAUUGAUUGACAUUACUAAUUACAAUGAUAAUUAAAGUUUGAUGGAAAUGUU